UCCCUGGUGGCUCAGAUGGUAAAGCGUCUGCCUGCAAUGCAGAAGACCCAGGUUCGAUUCCUGGGUUGGGAA
Molecule: transfer RNA, 72 nt
Filed under: Ovis aries (sheep)
Lineage: Eukaryota; Metazoa; Chordata; Mammalia; Artiodactyla; Bovidae
Rfam family: tRNA
About the family: Transfer RNA (tRNA) molecules are approximately 80 nucleotides in length. Their secondary structure includes four short double-helical elements and three loops (D, anti-codon, and T loops).
Source: Rfam by way of RNAcentral